This 71-nucleotide transfer RNA is filed under the name Marmota monax (woodchuck). RNAcentral describes it as "tRNA.Ala". The record is from RNAcentral. Lineage: Eukaryota; Metazoa; Chordata; Mammalia; Rodentia; Sciuridae.
GGGGCUGUGGCUCAGCGGUGGAGUGCUUACCCAGCAUGAAUGAGGCCCUGGGUUCGAUCCUCAGCACCACA